AUGUCACAGCAACUGCUGCUUGUUGUCCUUGAAGGCUGGCCCCGGUUGGAAAGUCUGACUUCUGGAUUCCUCUUUAUUCAAAUACCGGGUAUUCCUGAAACAGAGCUGAAGGGGGUACCCCCACUUUUGAAUUUGAGGAAGAAGCUAGAGCAGGUGCUGCUUACAGACGGGGCAGUGGCAGGAGCUGUAAGGACAAAGUGUCCAGCUGGAAAGGCUUCAGCUAUUCAGGAGGAGGCCUUGACUGCUGCACUUGAGCUCCAGACGCGACCGAAACACGGACCUCUCUUCAGAUAAAG
RNAcentral lists this long non-coding RNA (296 nucleotides) under Struthio camelus australis. Its description in RNAcentral is "lncRNA (ENSSCUG00000001466.1)". The record is from RNAcentral. Lineage: Eukaryota; Metazoa; Chordata; Aves; Struthioniformes; Struthionidae.